RNAcentral lists this ribosomal RNA (460 nucleotides) under uncultured bacterium. RNAcentral's name for it is "partial 16S ribosomal RNA". It matches the Rfam family "Bacterial small subunit ribosomal RNA", at positions 338 to 795 of the family's 1533-position model. The record is from RNAcentral.
CCUACGGGAGGCUGCAGUGAGGAAUAUUGGUCAAUGGACGAAAGUCUGAACCAGCCAUGCCGCGUGCAGGAAGACGGCUCUCUGAGUUGUAAACUGCUUUUGUACGGGGGUAAACGCAGAUACGCGUCUCUGUCUGACAGUAUCGUACGAAUAAGGAUCGGCUAACUCCGUGCCAGCAGCCGCGGUACUACGGAGGAUUCAAGCGUUAUCCGGAUUUAUUGGGUUUAAAGGGUGCGUAGGCGGUCGGAUAAGUUAGAUGUGAAAGCCCGAGGCUCAACUUCGGAAGUGCCUCUGAUACUGGUCGGCUAGAGAGUAGUAGCGGUAGGCGGAAUGUAUGGUGUAGCGGUGAAAUGCUUAGAGAUCAUACAGAACACCGAUUGCGAAGGCAGCUUACCAGGCUACAACUGACGUUGAGGCACGAAAGCGUGGGGAGCAAACAGGAUUAGAUACCCGAGUAGUC